Molecule: ribosomal RNA, 445 nt
Filed under: uncultured bacterium
Lineage: Bacteria
Description: bacterial SSU rRNA
Rfam family: Bacterial small subunit ribosomal RNA
Source: RNAcentral
GUAGGGAAUAUUGGACAAUGGGCGAAAGCCUGAUCCAGCCAUGCCGCGUGAUAGAUGAAGGCCCUCUGGGUUGUAAAUAUCUUUUAUCUGGGAAGAAACUCCUCUAUUCUUAGAGGCCUGACGGUACCAGAGGAAUAAGCACCGGCUAACUCCGUGCCAGCAGCCGCGGUAAUACGGAGGGUGCAAGCGUUAUCCGGAUUCACUGGGUUUAAAGGGUGCGUAGGCGGGUUGAUAAGUCAGUGGUGAAAGCUCCGGGCUUAACUUGGAAACUGCCAUUGAUACUGUCAAUCUUGAAUGUCGUAGAGGUAAGCGGAAUGUUGCAUGUAGCGGUGAAAUGCUUAGAUAUGUUACAGAACACCAAUUGCGAAGGCAGCUUACUAUGCGAUAAUUGACGCUGAGGCACGAAAGCGUGGGGAGCAAACAGGAUUAGAUACCCUUGUAGUCC